RNAcentral lists this ribosomal RNA (1038 nucleotides) under Escherichia coli. RNAcentral's name for it is "partial 23S ribosomal RNA". It matches the Rfam family "Bacterial large subunit ribosomal RNA", at positions 419 to 1457 of the family's 2925-position model. Lineage: Bacteria; Pseudomonadati; Pseudomonadota; Gammaproteobacteria; Enterobacterales; Enterobacteriaceae. The record is from RNAcentral.
GGGACACGUGGUAUCCUGUCUGAAUAUGGGGGGACCAUCCUCCAAGGCUAAAUACUCCUGACUGACCGAUAGUGAACCAGUACCGUGAGGGAAAGGCGAAAAGAACCCCGGCGAGGGGAGUGAAAAAGAACCUGAAACCGUGUACGUACAAGCAGUGGGAGCACGCUUAGGCGUGUGACUGCGUACCUUUUGUAUAAUGGGUCAGCGACUUAUAUUCUGUAGCAAGGUUAACCGAAUAGGGGAGCCGAAGGGAAACCGAGUCUUAACUGGGCGUUAAGUUGCAGGGUAUAGACCCGAAACCCGGUGAUCUAGCCAUGGGCAGGUUGAAGGUUGGGUAACACUAACUGGAGGACCGAACCGACUAAUGUUGAAAAAUUAGCGGAUGACUUGUGGCUGGGGGUGAAAGGCCAAUCAAACCGGGAGAUAGCUGGUUCUCCCCGAAAGCUAUUUAGGUAGCGCCUCGUGAAUUCAUCUCCGGGGGUAGAGCACUGUUUCGGCAAGGGGGUCAUCCCGACUUACCAACCCGAUGCAAACUGCGAAUACCGGAGAAUGUUAUCACGGGAGACACACGGCGGGUGCUAACGUCCGUCGUGAAGAGGGAAACAACCCAGACCGCCAGCUAAGGUCCCAAAGUCAUGGUUAAGUGGGAAACGAUGUGGGAAGGCCCAGACAGCCAGGAUGUUGGCUUAGAAGCAGCCAUCAUUUAAAGAAAGCGUAAUAGCUCACUGGUCGAGUCGGCCUGCGCGGAAGAUGUAACGGGGCUAAACCAUGCACCGAAGCUGCGGCAGCGACACUAUGUGUUGUUGGGUAGGGGAGCGUUCUGUAAGCCUGUGAAGGUGUGCUGUGAGGCAUGCUGGAGGUAUCAGAAGUGCGAAUGCUGACAUAAGUAACGAUAAAGCGGGUGAAAAGCCCGCUCGCCGGAAGACCAAGGGUUCCUGUCCAACGUUAAUCGGGGCAGGGUGAGUCGACCCCUAAGGCGAGGCCGAAAGGCGUAGUCGAUGGGAAACAGGUUAAUAUUCCUGUACUUGGUGUUACUGC